CGGCAACCUUUCCUCUGGACAGUUUUUGAUAAAUCUCCCCUAUAAAGCUCACUUGGAAAUUGGAAGAUGUCCAGCAGUGCAUUUAGUUCAGAACUGACAGAAACCUGUAGCACUGAGACAGACUCAGGGCUCUAUGGAGGCCAUAUCAUCACUUCCAGGACUCCUUCUUCAAUACAUUGAAGAUCUUGAGAAGUUCUUAAAGAGUACUUUAGUUGUGCCGCAAACACAUAUCUCUGUACAGCCUGAAUACUGUGCUGAGAAAGGGAGGGGUGCUCCGUAUCAAGCCCCCACUCUAUUAGCUGAAGAUGAGAACCGCAGCCAAGGCUCUGGAGGACUGUAGAUAAAAUAGGAACAGGGGAGAGGCAGGCUGAGCCCCAGUUUAACGACUAAGGGGGCACAUUUAUCAUUUUCUUUAGAGCCUUUUUUCCUUUUCUUAUAUUUGGAGCAUGAAAUGUGCAUCUGCAUCUGCAUCAACGCAGUUUUCACUUUGCAGUGGUAAGGAAUUUAUCAAGUGCAAAUGUCACACAAAAAGUCACAAAGCCUUCUGAAACACACUGCAGAACUACACCAGCCCAAACCUGGCAUACAAAACUGCCUUAGUGAAGAGGAGGAAUCAUACAAAAUGGUGGUCUGAACUGAUUUAUUGUUUUUUGCAUAUAUGUGCCAAAUUGUCACAUCUUUUUGAUCAACUCCCCUGCAAUAGCAUGAUAAAUAUGUUGCACGUAAGCAGAACUGAAGCAAAAAUAAAUUACUUCAAAACACACUUUCACACUGACAACAAUAAUAA
Long non-coding RNA from Hyla sarda, 787 nucleotides. RefSeq lists it as uncharacterized. The record is from RefSeq and is a predicted model, not a curated record. The transcript is spliced from 4 exons. NCBI's taxonomy places the organism in Eukaryota, Metazoa, Chordata, Amphibia, Anura, Hylidae.